CAAUAGCGUAUAUUAAAGUUGUUGCAGUUAAAAAGCUCGUAGUUGGAUUUGUGGUGUACUUCGGCGGCCCGUCACUAUGUGAUGGAGCUUGCUGAAGUCGCCAUCCUUGGGUGGAUCCUGUGUGGCAUUAAGUUGUCGUGCAGGGGAUGCCCAUCGUUUACUGUGAAAAAAUUAGAGUGUUCAAAGCAGGCUUAUGCCGUUGAAUAUAUUAGCAUGGAAUAAUAAGAUAGGACCUUGGUACUAUUUUGUUGGUUUGCGCACCAGGGUAAUGAUUAAUAGGGACAGUUGGGGGUAUUCGUAUUUCAUUGUCAGAGGUGAAAUUCUUGGAUUUUUGAAAGACGAACUACUGCGAAAGCAUUUACCAAGGAUGUUUUCAUUAA
This 380-nucleotide ribosomal RNA is filed under the name uncultured eukaryote. Its description in RNAcentral is "partial 18S ribosomal RNA". It matches the Rfam family "Eukaryotic small subunit ribosomal RNA", at positions 592 to 976 of the family's 1831-position model. The record is from RNAcentral.